AAAAAAGGUAAGCUACUAAGAGCGAAUGGUGGAUGCCUUGACUGGUAAAGGCGAUGAAGGACGUACUAGACUGCGAUAAGCUACGGGGAGCUGUCAAGAAGCUUUGAUCCGUAGAUUUCCGAAUGGGGCAACCCAAUGUAUAGAGAUAUACAUUACCUAUAUAGGAGCGAACGAGGGGAAUUGAAACAUCUUAGUACCCUCAGGAAAAGAAAUCAAUAGAGAUUGCG
RNAcentral lists this ribosomal RNA (227 nucleotides) under Campylobacter coli. RNAcentral's name for it is "partial 23S ribosomal RNA". It matches the Rfam family "Bacterial large subunit ribosomal RNA", at positions 1 to 239 of the family's 2925-position model. Lineage: Bacteria; Pseudomonadati; Campylobacterota; Epsilonproteobacteria; Campylobacterales; Campylobacteraceae. The record is from RNAcentral. RNAcentral also lists the same sequence under 1 other name.